Molecule: RNA transcript, 1546 nt
Organism: Nymphaea colorata (pocket water lily)
Lineage: Eukaryota; Viridiplantae; Streptophyta; Magnoliopsida; Nymphaeales; Nymphaeaceae
Exons: 3
Source: RefSeq, a predicted model, not a curated record
UUUCUCUAUCUCAGUGCCUCUUCUGAGGGGACUUUGCCCCCUUUCUGAAAGUUCCUGUUCCACCGAAGAGUGCCGAUUUCGGGCAACUGGACGAGAGGUUGAAAUCUUUACAAGCAGCUCCUCCUCCCUCGCUUUCCUGCCUUCUCACUGUCGCACCAGAUAUGUUGCCGCUCCACUCCUCCGCCGGGAAGAGGGACGCAGAGACAGGGCAGCAUCUGCCACUGCCACAGUUGCCUUCCCAACUUCCCAACAAGUGCAGCAACCCUAUCCUCAUGCACUCGCUGCAGCAAGUUUACGCCCUCUUCAGCCCAAUUGCUCCCGUCCCUCUUCUAAACCAUAAUCGAUUCCCCGAAGCAGCGGCUUCUUCCUUCUCCGUCUCAUUUCUUCUCUCUUUUCGCAGGUGUUCUUCCUGUGCAUCUGCUCAGAUCAGGCAUGAUAUUUUCUUCCUGAUUUAGAGUAUUGGUUCCCAUUCAUAAUGAUAUCACUGUGUGUUCUGUUGUGUAAUUUACUUUUAUAUUGUUCCUUAUAGCCAAUUACCACCAUAUGUGACCAAUUACGAUUGCUAUUGUUUCGUUAAGAUAGGUCCUCUGAUACCCGCAGAUCAAUCGAGCAGAGAGUGGAGGAUUUCCAAGUAAUGGCAGAUGGAAAGGUGCCUCACUUGCUUAUGCCAUUCAGAAGUAAGUCAAGUGUGGGUUUUCAGACAAUAAAUACCUUCUUGGUUUUACUGUGCUUAGGUGUUUGUGACUUUGUUCAUACUCUAAAUUCGUUUUAUAUUCCUAUUGUUGUAUUCUUGAUUUUCUUUGUUGUAAAUACUGAAUAUGGCAUUCCAGGGAUUGGUCAUUCCUUCAUAUGUCAAACAUUUUAGACAGACGGAUUGUUAUUCUUCUUUAAGUUGUUGCUUAUGAAUGUAUCCUGGCUUAAUUUCUUUGACUCCACGAUCAAGUUAUGUCAGUGAUUUUUUUCAUACGAUUUAGGUGGCAAUGGUCGGCUAUUUUGAACUGGUCAGGAAUUAAUUAGCAUACCUGCCUAAAAAUCAAACCGUAGGAGGUUUAGAAAAUUGAUGCUCUGGUAGUUUAGCUUUAUCUGCCGAUGCUGUAUGAUGUUCUGGAAAUAUAUAUGCUGAUCAGGAAAGCUGUUGUUUUCCUCAUAAUGUUUCCGUAGAUAACUGGUAGUGAUGCAUAUUGGCUACUAUAUAUCUUGAUCUGGGCAAAAGGCAUUAAACCUUUGGAAGAGGAGAGAGACAGCUGGAUCUGGGCUAAAGGCAUUAAACCUUGUAUCAAUUGUAAGUUGUUCAAAGGGCUGUUAUGAUGCAACAACUCAUGUAGCUCUUGCACCUUUGCUUUUAGCGUGCACAUGCUACUUGCUUCUUUACCUUCUCGAGCACAGAAAAUGACAAAACCGGACAAUGCUUAAGUGAGGGCACUUGAUAUAUCAAGUUGAAAGAAAUUUUUUUAUUUAAAUGCAUGCAAAUGUACUUCAUUUUGGUGUACAUGUGUAUUUGUAAGAGUCCAAAUCAAGUUGAAUAAAGAAAUUCUAUGUUAAUGUA